This 561-nucleotide ribosomal RNA is filed under the name uncultured bacterium. Its description in RNAcentral is "bacterial SSU rRNA". It matches the Rfam family "Bacterial small subunit ribosomal RNA", at positions 113 to 691 of the family's 1533-position model. The record is from RNAcentral.
ACACGUAGAUAAUCUAUCCUAUACUGGGGGAUAGCCCGAUGAAAGUUGGAUUAAUACCGCAUAUAGCUAUAUAGUUGCAUGAUUAUGUAGUGAAAGAUUUAUUGGUAUAGGAGGAGUCUGCGGCACAUUAGCUAGUAGGUGAGGUAAAGGCUUACCUAGGCGACGAUGUGUAGCCGGUCUGAGAGGAUGAACGGCCACAAUGGAACUGAGACACGGUCCAUACUCCUACGGGAGGCAGCAGUGGGGAAUAUUGCACAAUGGGGGAAACCCUGAUGCAGCAACGCCGCGUGAGUGAAGAAGGUUUUCGGAUUGUAAAGCUCUGUUAGCAGGGAAGAGGAAGGACGGUACCUGCAGAGGAAGCCACGGCUAACUACGUGCCAGCAGCCGCGGUAAUACGUAGGUGGCAAGCGUUGUUCGGAAUAACUGGGCGUAAAGGAUGCGUAGGCGGUUAAACAAGUUAUAUGUUAAAUAUAUAGGCUUAACCUGUAGAAAGCAUAUAAAACUGUUUAACUAGAGUGCAGGAGAGGUAAGUGGAAUUCCUAGUGUAGCGGUGAAAUGCGU